Molecule: long non-coding RNA, 872 nt
Filed under: Capra hircus (goat)
Lineage: Eukaryota; Metazoa; Chordata; Mammalia; Artiodactyla; Bovidae
Description: lncRNA (ENSCHIG00000004712.1)
Source: RNAcentral
AAGUGCUGCGUUGGAACAAAGGCGACUUCUUCUCUUUGGCAAACUCUGAGCUCCUGCUCUGUUUUGUCCAAUUAUGGGUUGAGCUCGCCCCUGCCCACGAGCCAGCUAAUCAGACUUUUAUGAGCCUUGCUCCCUCACGCCCAGGGCCCGGAGCUGAAUGCAGGUUUCUGCAGAGAGAGGAGGACGUGCUUUUUGCCGGAAGACUGCUUCCCACUCUGACCUAAUCCUGGGAGCCCUGGAACCUCAAAUCCUAGCUCUCCGAGGAGAGUCCAUCCUCUUCCAUCAACAUGGACCUCAGGACCCUGGUGGGAGGAAGCGCCUGGAAGACAAGCCUAGACAUCUCCAACCGGAACUCGGGAUGAAUUCUCCCGUAGACCUACCUGUGAAUGGUGCCUGGCAUGGUCAAGGCUGAGACAACUAAAUAUUUUGCCUUUGGCUUGAGAUUAAGUGAACUGAAUGUCUGGACUCAGCAAGUUGCUUGAACAGUCUCAACCCAUUAAAUGUGAAUUAAAAAUAGACAGCUGAUACUAAAAGUGGAGGUUAGUAACAUAAGUGUAAAAUGAAUGUAGAAUUUUUCUGGUUAAAAUAAAUUCUUAAAACAAAUUGUAAUUAAGUAUCAUAAAAUUGUCUUUUUGCUGACUAGUUGAUGGACAUAAAUGUAUACACAUUUAUAGAUAUUAAUGCAAAUAGCCAUGAAAAUAUACGUUCAUAUGUCUACAGACCCAUUUAUGUUAGCAUAGAUGCUUGCCCUUGGGGCUAACAGCCAAAAACUAUUAAUUCUCUCCAUGGGAAAGCAAUUUUAAAGCUCAUUAAUUAUGCCUGAAAUUUACAUUUUUAUUUUUAUUCCAAGCUUUGAUUGCAGUCUAUUAAUA